Merluccius polli (Benguela hake) is the source of this 81-nucleotide non-coding RNA. The record is from the annotation of a GenBank genome assembly. NCBI's taxonomy places the organism in Eukaryota, Metazoa, Chordata, Actinopteri, Gadiformes, Merlucciidae.
GGCCAGGAUAUUCUAGUGUUUAGGCUGUUCGACUCCAAACUGAAAGGUUCUGGGUUUGAACCCUAGUCUGGUUCGAACCCA